RNAcentral lists this ribosomal RNA (1489 nucleotides) under Lactiplantibacillus argentoratensis. Its description in RNAcentral is "bacterial SSU rRNA". It matches the Rfam family "Bacterial small subunit ribosomal RNA". The record is from RNAcentral. Lineage: Bacteria; Bacillati; Bacillota; Bacilli; Lactobacillales; Lactobacillaceae.
GACGAACGCUGGCGGCGUGCCUAAUACAUGCAAGUCGAACGAACUCUGGUAUUGAUUGGUGCUUGCAUCAUGAUUUACAUUUGAGUGAGUGGCGAACUGGUGAGUAACACGUGGGAAACCUGCCCAGAAGCGGGGGAUAACACCUGGAAACAGAUGCUAAUACCGCAUAACAACUUGGACCGCAUGGUCCGAGCUUGAAAGAUGGCUUCGGCUAUCACUUUUGGAUGGUCCCGCGGCGUAUUAGCUAGAUGGUGGGGUAACGGCUCACCAUGGCAAUGAUACGUAGCCGACCUGAGAGGGUAAUCGGCCACAUUGGGACUGAGACACGGCCCAAACUCCUACGGGAGGCAGCAGUAGGGAAUCUUCCACAAUGGACGAAAGUCUGAUGGAGCAACGCCGCGUGAGUGAAGAAGGGUUUCGGCUCGUAAAACUCUGUUGUUAAAGAAGAACAUAUCUGAGAGUAACUGUUCAGGUAUUGACGGUAUUUAACCAGAAAGCCACGGCUAACUACGUGCCAGCAGCCGCGGUAAUACGUAGGUGGCAAGCGUUGUCCGGAUUUAUUGGGCGUAAAGCGAGCGCAGGCGGUUUUUUAAGUCUGAUGUGAAAGCCUUCGGCUCAACCGAAGAAGUACAUCGGAAACUGGGAAACUUGAGUGCAGAAGAGGACAGUGGAACUCCAUGUGUAGCGGUGAAAUGCGUAGAUAUAUGGAAGAACACCAGUGGCGAAGGCGGCUGUCUGGCCUGUAACUGACGCUGAGGCUCGAAAGUAUGGGUAGCAAACAGGAUUAGAUACCCUGGUAGUCCAUACCGUAAACGAUGAAUGCUAAGUGUUGGAGGGUUUCCGCCCUUCAGUGCUGCAGCUAACGCAUUAAGCAUUCCGCCUGGGGAGUACGGCCGCAAGGCUGAAACUCAAAGGAAUUGACGGGGGCCCGCACAAGCGGUGGAGCAUGUGGUUUAAUUCGAAGCUACGCGAAGAACCUUACCAGGUCUUGACAUACUAUGCAAAUCUAAGAGAUUAGACGUUCCCUUCGGGGACAUGGAUACAGGUGGUGCAUGGUUGUCGUCAGCUCGUGUCGUGAGAUGUUGGGUUAAGUCCCGCAACGAGCGCAACCCUUAUUAUCAGUUGCCAGCAUUAAGUUGGGCACUCUGGUGAGACUGCCGGUGACAAACCGGAGGAAGGUGGGGAUGACAUCAAAUCAUCAUGCCCCUUAUGACCUGGGCUACACACGUGCUACAAUGGAUGGUACAACGAGUUGCGAACUCGCGAGAGUAAGCUAAUCUCUUAAAGCCAUUCUCAGUUCGGAUUGUAGGCUGCAACUCGCCUACAUGAAGUCGGAAUCGCUAGUAAUCGCGGAUCAGCAUGCCGCGGUGAAUACGUUCCCGGGCCUUGUACACACCGCCCGUCACACCAUGAGAGUUUGUAACACCCAAAGUCGGUGGGGUAACCUUUUAGGAACCAGCCGCCUAAGGUGGGACAGAUGAUUAGGGUG